AUCAAUAAUCAAUAAUAUCCAAAU
This 24-nucleotide small nuclear RNA is filed under the name Arabidopsis thaliana (thale cress). Its description in RNAcentral is "snRNA_03995". Lineage: Eukaryota; Viridiplantae; Streptophyta; Magnoliopsida; Brassicales; Brassicaceae. The record is from RNAcentral.